RNAcentral lists this transfer RNA (111 nucleotides) under Mesorhizobium sp. AA22. Its description in RNAcentral is "tRNA-OTHER". The record is from RNAcentral. Lineage: Bacteria; Pseudomonadati; Pseudomonadota; Alphaproteobacteria; Hyphomicrobiales; Phyllobacteriaceae.
GCGCGAUUGCCGCAACAUGGCAGACGGAUCCGAUGCCAAAGCACUCAUGAUAGAGUGUUUCCAAUCGGGUGUGGCGAAAGCCUCGUACGGGUUCGAUUCCCGUAUCGCGCA